CCUACGGGUGGCAGCAGUAGGGAAUAUUGCUCAAUGGGGGAAACCCUGAUGCAGCAACGCCGCGUGGAUGAUGAAGGUUUUCGGAUUGUAAAGUCCUUUUGUUAGAGAAGAUAGUUACGGUUUCUAACUAAUAAGCACCUGCUAACUCCUUGCCAGCAGCCGCGGUAAUACGUAGGGGCCAAGCGUUACUCGGAAGCACUGGGCGUAAAGUGCGCGUAGGCGGGAUAGCAAGUCAGAUGUGAAAUCCUAUGGCUUAACCAUAGAACUGCAUUUGAAACUGUUAUUCUAGAGUAUAGGAGAGGUAGGUGGAACUCUAGGUGUAGGGGUAAAAUGCGUAGAGAUAAAGAGGAAUACUCAUGGCGAAGGCGACCUGCUAGAACAUAACUGACGCUGAUGCGCGAAAGCGUGGGGAGCAAACAGGAUUAGAUACCCUGGUAGUC
This 440-nucleotide ribosomal RNA is filed under the name uncultured bacterium. RNAcentral describes it as "partial 16S ribosomal RNA". It matches the Rfam family "Bacterial small subunit ribosomal RNA", at positions 338 to 795 of the family's 1533-position model. The record is from RNAcentral.